AUGAACGCUAGCUACAGGCUUAACACAUGCAAGUCGAGGGGCAGCAUGAACUUAGCUUGCUAAGUUUGAUGGCGACCGGCGCACGGGUGAGUAACACGUAUCCAACCUUCCGUUUACUCAGGGAUAGCCUUUUCGGAAGAAAGAUUAAUACCUGAUAGUAUGGUGAGAUUGCAUGAUAGCACCAUUAAAGAUUUAUUGGUAAACGAUGGGGAUGCGUCUGAUUAGCUUGUUGGCGGGGUAACGGCCCACCAAGGCGACGAUCAGUAGGGGUUCUGAGAGGAAGGCCCCCCACAUUGGAACUGAGACACGGUCCAAACUCCUACGGGAGGCAGCAGUGAGGAAUAUUGGUCAAUGGACGAGAGUCUGAACCAGCCAAGUAGCGUGCAGGAUGACGGCCCUAUGGGUUGUAAACUGCUUUUAUAAGGGAAUAAAGUGAGUCUCGUGAGGCUUUUUGCAUGUACCUUAUGAAUAAGGACCGGCUAAUUCCGUG
Molecule: ribosomal RNA, 490 nt
Filed under: uncultured bacterium
Lineage: Bacteria
Description: bacterial SSU rRNA
Rfam family: Bacterial small subunit ribosomal RNA
Source: RNAcentral